This 227-nucleotide long non-coding RNA is filed under the name Elaeis guineensis (African oil palm). Its description in RNAcentral is "long non-coding RNA (EGUI_LNC044864)". Lineage: Eukaryota; Viridiplantae; Streptophyta; Magnoliopsida; Arecales; Arecaceae. The record is from RNAcentral.
GGUAAAUAACUCAAGGAGGUCUCCUUCCUGAAGCCUGAACAUGUAUCUCCCAUAUUCCUUGUUUUUAACCUCAUGUACCUUUGAUUUAGAUAAUCAUUUGCUAGUGGAUCACUUGUUCACAAGAGUGGACCACUGAUGAACUAAAAGAUGUAUUUCUCCACCAUGGUUAUUAGCUGCUAAAUUACUUUCCCAGUGGUGGAACCUAGGUCUCCUACUCCCUUGGACCA